This 259-nucleotide ribosomal RNA is filed under the name uncultured Glomeromycotina. RNAcentral describes it as "partial large subunit ribosomal RNA". Lineage: Eukaryota; Fungi; Glomeromycota. The record is from RNAcentral.
CAGUCGUACCUACGGGUAAUCAGCCUUUCGGGAGCGAUUCUGUGGGUUUUUGAGGAGCUUCACGGCCCUCGGGUCUGCAUAUUCGUACCCCUUGGGUGUACUUUCCCGGUGGUAGGUUAACAUCAAUUUCGGUCGUCAUAAAAUGACGGGAGGAAUGUAGCUUCGGUCUCGUACUGAAGUGUUAUAGACUCUGGUAGAUGUGAUGACCGGGAUUGAGGAUUGCAACGGAUACCCUCUGGGCUACCCGCCUGAUCUCUGA